AUCCCAGCGCGCGAGCUCCUCCCCAAUCCCCUUCGCACCCGUGCCGCCGCCACCACCCCUCUCUCCUCCGGCCUGCCUCCUCCCUAGUGCUCAGCGGGAGGACGAGAUGGUGCUAUGGGUGCUCAGCAAGAGGAGCACAAGGCUCUCCUUCCCGUCCGUGCAUCCUUCCCCUCGUCUCCUACCCCUGGCCGCCAAUUGCCGCUCGCCUCCUUCCCCUCGUCUCCUACCCCUCCUCAUGCCGCCUCUCCUCCUCUAGCUCGCCGCCCUUGCGCUGCCUCUCCUCCUCUGCACCCAUCUCCAACCAAAGGUUGCGCCGCUGCAUCUUCUCGCCGGCCCAGCAGGGGCGAGCAACGACCGCGGAGUCGUCUUCCGGCAACGCGUCCAUACCGGAGCAGCCGCCACAGAGGUCCCCUCCGCCCUCUUCUUCACGCACAACAGCCAGUGCAGCUCAGCUUAGCCUCCUCUGGCUCGUCCUCAUCACCGUCAGCAGCGGGCUCAGCUCCAUCCCCUCCACCCCACAAUUUUUGCUGCACAUAGGAGAAGGAGGCGGCUGGGAGAUGGCUCAAGAGAACAAGAUCGAUGCCGUCGUCCUUAGUGUGGUGGAGCGUGGCGCCCCCAUUGUCCUCGUCCAUCCCAGGUUCGAGUUGAUGGCCGUCUUUCCAUGGGAGAAAAUGGAUAAAUCAAGCCCAGGUCGCACGGCAAGCAGAUUCCAUUCCGGAGAUGGAGUUGCUGAUGACAGAUCGUAUAACAGAAUCCUUGCAGUCUUUCAACAGCGAAAAAUAUGUGCAUGUAAUUGAGUAGUGGGAUCUGCCCCAUGUAUAUGUGGUUUGUUGGCCUAAAUUUUAGUUGUGUGUCCUCAACUUCUUUGCAAAAUUGUAUGGAGGAAGAUUCAAUAUUCAUAGGAGCUAUAAGUGUUCUAUUUUGUUUCCUGGACAAAUGGUUGGAUGUCAGGCGUCACUUCAUCAUGGCAUAUGGUCAUUAGGGAAGGCAUGGAGGUCAGUGGGUUUCCUGCUGUGCCGUUUCUGCUGGAGAGGAUUGACGAGGAGAUGUCGGGGACGAUGGCAACGAAGUUGUACUUCGUCUCCAGGUCAAGGGAGAGGACCUGAAGAGGAAGUUUUUGCACUGCAAUUCAAAUGGAUCUUGUUUCGGUUAGUAUUUGGAUUAUCAUUAUCAUUUACAACUGGAAAUAUGUUUUUAUUUCACACAUUAGUUGGGCAUGUAUGCUGAAGAUUUUCUCCUUUUGUUCAUAGAUGGUUCCGAAAAGUACGCAUUGCAUGACUCGCAGAUUACAUGAUUAGACAUAAACUGAAUUUAUUAUACUUGUCCUGAGCUCCUACCAUUUGACCAAUUGCCUGCCUGCUUCCUUUACUCAUAUUUUGGUUUUCCAAGUGUAUCCUGAUGAGUCUUUUUUUUUGUCUCAAAUCGCUAUUUAGUAUUUUUGGUUGGUAGUUGUUAUUUUAGUGCCAUGCAAGAUGAUUGUGAUUUCUUAACUCUAAAUGUAUGCUUGUCCUCUGAUUAGCAGAUCAUGUUGUUUCAUAUUUUACUUCACAUACCUUAUACAACUCAAGAUUAAAUUUAUGAGCUCACUAAAAAAUUACAAAAUGGCAACAAUUAAAUUUAUUAUGGAUAUUCCAGUAUUGACCGUCAUACUAAGUGUAUCCCCAUUGACUAUUGGAACAAAUGUGCUAAGCCUUAACAGAUUGAUACCUGAAAGAAGAAUGAGGUUUACACCAUCUAGCUUACACCUACAAGAAUCACCAUAUCCUGGAGGCAUUUAAUAUGAGAUAUCGUAACUACAUCACGGAUUCAAAUAUCAAAUAUUUAUCAAGUAGCAGCACAACUAUUUGUUUCCUGAUAUUAUCUUCUUUGGUAUAUCAUACAGUGUGCGUCAAACAUACACAUUCUCUGAAUAUGAUGGAAUUUGAAUAGCAGAUACAAGGAACCUACACAGCAUAUCAUAUAAACAAUGACUAUAACAUGCCUGUUUCUCUGUUAGAUGGUUGGUGCUUUUAUUUUGAGGUGCUUGAAUGAUCCAAGGACCAAUCAGUGCAUUUUGGUGUUUUAUGGUCUACUCGUGAUCUCUAUGUAGCUGAUUGAUGUAUAUAUUUGAUCCAACUAUCCAAGGCUCCUCAUGGUUUAUAUUUAUCAUGUGUUUCAUGUAGGUUUGUCAUGGUGCAGAUUCAGAUCAAUCUGCACAUUCUCAUGGUCUACUCAUGAUCUCUAUUUAAUUGUUUGAUGUAUAUUUGAUUGAAAGCUUGUCAUGGUUUUUAUUUUGAGGUGCUUGCAGGUGCAGAUUGAGCUGAACAAGAAGUAACUAUUCAUGGAUGAAGGGUGGGAAUGAUAAGAUGGGCCAAAGCAAGAUGGGAUGAGGAAUUUCUGAUUUUGGAGAGAGAGAGGCAUGUGACUUCCUGAUGUAUGGCCCAUUUUCAUGCAGUGUUGUUCCUCGGUGAGAUGAUGCCUUAAGAAGGAUAGCUAAACAUGUCAACUGAAGGUGUAAAUUUUCCUAGGAAGAAACAGAGGGAAAGUUUGAAGGCAUUUUAUCGAGGAAAAUCCGCAUGCUCCAAUGCACAAUCAAGGUUUUUAAUUAAUUGUGUUCGCUUCAUCUGCUCCUAUGUGAGAGUUCCUCUCUCUGUUUCUAAUUGAUCUCCUUACAUCCUAUUUUUUAGAAUUUUUCUUCCUCAAACAGAACUAAUAGAUGACUUCUCUGUUCAGCAUUACUAUUGUUUACAUUUAUGUUAUUUCACUUUGAUAGCUAUUAGCAUUGUGGGUUACCACCUGGUGGACCUCAGUAUUUUAUUUCAGAUUGCAUUGUUCUAGAUCUCCUGCUUAUUUCUUUUUAGUUUGUAUGUUUCAUUACAAUAGGAUUUUUAGAGGAAGUUCGAUUGUUUGUUGGAAAAAAUACGUGUUCUGCCAAUGGUAUUACUGAUGGUUUAAAAUACAUCGUUCAUAGUUAUGGUUCAAGAAUUAUUUUAUGUUACCUCUAAAAAAAUAAAGAGAGCGCAGGCCUUGGUAUACAAGUUCAGUUCGACCAUUCAAAAUCACCACCUGAUUUGAGCUUUUUCAGUAAUAAUUCAUCUCCGUGUUAUUUCCCCAGCAAUGUAUAGUCCUUACACGUUUAUUUCUCCUGCAGCCCCAAGCACUUCCCUAUUUCAUGUAUAUAUUGAUAUCUUUUCAGUUCGUGCACUUUCAGGUUUUAACCAGGGUAUACAUUCACCGAAAUAGCUUUUAAAUUUUUAUUUUGUGUGUACUACGUAGGUUCCAGUACAGUUUUUUGCUAGAUUUCCAUAUUGUAUGGUAUGUGAGCUUAAUCCAUUAUCCAAACUAUUUUUUCUGUUUGUCUAAAUAACCAAGAGAUAUUUUACAUCUCAACUUGUAGGAGAUCAGAUGUUUUCUGAUUUGUGUUGACAAUGAGCUUAAACUGAUUGGUAUCUUCACCAUAUAGGUUUCUCAGAAAUGUGAGGAUUCAAUGUGUUGAAGGAAAAAUGGAUAUUCUUGAAUAUGCUAAAAUGGUGGCAAGAUUUGUUGUUGAUGCCAUUGCAAAGGCUGAUUGAAGGUGUGGCGUAGGUUCCUAGACUGACGGUGAUGAUCCAGAAUAUCCAGCGGAUCUGUGAACUGUGAGGCUACCAUGGGCAUCGGCAAGGUGGAGCUUCUCUCAUGUCUCCUGGUGCCCGCCGAUUGUUUUUCUUUUCUAGCGGCGGGGCUUCUCUUCUUCUGCUUUUGAUUGGUGUUCCUGCAGCCACCGCCUCACCAGUUCUCUGGCGCUCAACAGAGCAGCUGCCAACAACAUAGGUCUCAGCAGCUCAGUGAUCUCUGUACAAGGAGAGUGAACAAAUCACACAGAGAAUAUAGAAGAAACUCGGCAUCAAUUCAUGUAGAUAUGCAGAAUUAGAGAGUGAGAUAGGUACAAGUAAAGAAAGAAACAUUAAUUCCGAUGUUAUUAGAGAGGUAGCACAUCAACGGGUGGACCUUUUUUGAGCAGCAACUGGACGGGCAGGGUUGCAGCUACUGUCCUCAAGAAUGGCGUGGUGGCACAUCCAGCUCGAGUUUUGGAGAUUCAUUUCUGCAGGCGGGUAAUCCUCAUCUUCUGGUGCUUCGUGGCUCGACCGAGCAUGAGCAAAGGCAGAUGGGCAUCGGCGGGACAUGCCGGUGGUGAAGAAUCGGCGGUGCAUGCCAUGAAGAGCAUUGCAGUGUGCUCCCCUGCAUCGAUUGAUACUCAUGUGGCUGGAAUGAGGAGAGGUGGUGGCAGUAGUGUCACGGGAGAGAAA
Non-coding RNA from Lolium perenne, 4265 nucleotides. The record is from RefSeq and is a predicted model, not a curated record. Lineage: Eukaryota; Viridiplantae; Streptophyta; Magnoliopsida; Poales; Poaceae.